Molecule: ribosomal RNA, 405 nt
Filed under: uncultured bacterium
Lineage: Bacteria
Description: partial 16S ribosomal RNA
Rfam family: Bacterial small subunit ribosomal RNA
Source: RNAcentral
AUUGAACGCUAGCGGGAUGCUUUACACAUGCAAGUCGAACGAGUGGCGGACGGGUGAGUAAUAUAUCGGAACGUGCCCAGUAGCGGGGGAUAACUACUCGAAAGAGUGGCUAAUACCGCAUACUAUUGGAGCGGCCGAUAUGGGAUUAGCGAGUUGGUGGGGUAAAGGCUCACCAAGGCGACGAUCCGUAGCUGGUUUGAGAGGACGAUCAGCCACACUGGGACUGAGACACGGCCCAGACUCCUACGGGAGGCAGCAGUGGGGAAUAUUGGACAAUGGGCGAAAGCCUGAUCCAGCCAUCCCGCGUGUAUGAGAAGGCCUUCGGGUUGUAAAGUACUUUUGGCAGAGAAGCGGUAUCUGCAGAAUAAGCACCGGCUAACUACGUGCCAGCCGCCGCGGUAAUAC